Molecule: long non-coding RNA, 1030 nt
Organism: Ictalurus punctatus (channel catfish)
Lineage: Eukaryota; Metazoa; Chordata; Actinopteri; Siluriformes; Ictaluridae
Source: Ensembl
CUAUUUGACAGUGAGAGAGAGAGAGAGAGAGAGAGAGAGAGAGAAGGAGAGGGACUGACUGAGGAGGGGGGCAAGGACAAGUGUGUGUGUGUGUGUGUGUGUGUGUGUGUGCAUGUGUGUGUGUGUGUGUGUGUGUGUGUGUGUGUGUGUGUACUGAUGCAGUGAGAGCUGUGAGGAUAAAGCAGAGAGCAGUGAAGGGAUGCAGAGGAGAAUGGAGGGAGCCAAAUAAUCCCUCUGCCUGUGUACUCUUUCACUCUUUCUUUCCUUUCAUUUCUUUCUCUGUCCUGUUAGCAGGCGGACAGUCCUGAAGAUGACUCACUGUGGAAUUUUUUCCAACUCAAAUUCUUUUCAAUCUCUCUCUCUCUCUCUCUCUCUCUCUCUCUCUCUCUCUCUCUCUCUCUCUCUCUCUUUCAUUUAAAAAAAUAAGCCAGUAAUGCUACAGGGUGUCCUAGAGGGCCCGAAGAAUUUCUGUAGAGAGGCAUUUGAGAGAGAGUGAAAAAAAAGAAGAAGAAUGGGACAGGGAAAAGAGGCUGAAAGAAGAGAAGCACACAGGAGGAAAGGAAUGUGGUUCUGAGGACGGAAGAGCACCUGCUGCCCUUCACAACCUAUUUCCUGCGCUAAAGAAAUGAUCCAGAGGAAAAAGGCCACGGAGGAAAAGAAAAAGACUGCACAGAGAAUCUCUUUUCCAACCCUGACAUGAGGUACAGUACUUCUAAAUGAAGUCAAUCCUUGUCUGUGAUGGCACAUGGAAGUCAGUCUUGGUGUCUUAUCCUGUCUGUCUGUGUCACACAUGAUCGCACCCAGAAUAUGUGGAAAUGCAGGUACGUGUGCUUUUUAAUCUUGCUUCCUAUAUUUGGCUGCAGCCUACCAUCUACCUUUGUAAUGAAGGAUAAUUAUAUAAAAAUAUACAUACUGUAACUAAACUUCCUAGAAUAUAACAGCUGUUAAUGUCAGACAAGCAGUAAAGCUCAACAGUGUACAUGCAGUUGUAUUGGCUUUCUAUCAUAUGUAUGGACCAAAUGUGCUAAAU